RNAcentral lists this small RNA (29 nucleotides) under Bombyx mori (domestic silkworm). RNAcentral describes it as "ovarian small RNA-7893". The record is from RNAcentral. Lineage: Eukaryota; Metazoa; Arthropoda; Insecta; Lepidoptera; Bombycidae.
UGAAAUUGGAGGUCCCGGCGUAGUCCGUA